CUUGUAGGCGGUUUGUCGCGUCUGCCGUGAAAUUCCCUGGCUUAACUGGGGGCGUGCGGUGGGUACGGGCAGGCUUGAGUGCGGUAGGGGAGACUGGAAUUCCUGGUGUAGCGGUGGAAUGCGCAGAUAUCAGGAGGAACACCGGUGGCGAAGGCGGGUCUCUGGGCCGUUACUGACGCUGAGGAGCGAAAGCAUGGGGAGCGAACA
Molecule: ribosomal RNA, 207 nt
Filed under: uncultured bacterium
Lineage: Bacteria
Description: partial 16S ribosomal RNA
Rfam family: Bacterial small subunit ribosomal RNA
Source: RNAcentral